Long non-coding RNA from Phycodurus eques (leafy seadragon), 5540 nucleotides. RefSeq lists it as uncharacterized. Lineage: Eukaryota; Metazoa; Chordata; Actinopteri; Syngnathiformes; Syngnathidae. The record is from RefSeq and is a predicted model, not a curated record. The transcript is spliced from 8 exons.
GGACUAAAGUGGACUGUGGACUGUAUAGCUCAUAAAGGUGCGGAAAGAAUACAAAACAGCGGACAGCUUCUCAUCUUUUUGUCCGAAAAGUAUUUGAUCUAGACUGUGCUGGGGGUGACAAAGCUACUCCAGUUUGUGGAAAGAUCAUUCAUUUUGAAAAGGUGGACUGAUCAAGGAAGACGUUUGCUGCUGGCAUUAACUCAUUCACUGCCAUUGAUGACUUUAGAAGUCAAAUGGCCAUGUCAACUGGGAGGGCUGUCAGUAAAUGAGUUUAAUCUCUAUUUAACCGGAUCGACUUUUGAUGCUCAAGGAAGAAAAUAAGGACUUCAUCUGUAAGGAAAGAGGAAGAGAAAAAAAAGUGAGCCGCAUGACUCAGCAGAAAGGACAUCUGCAAGCUGACCAGAGGUAGACCUAAGACUUGCUGUGCAUCUGCUGAAAGUCAGCAGCGAUCUCCAAUGCUGUUUUAUUCCUCAUCUUGGGCACGUUGAAGUACACGUACAGCCCAGAAGUAAAGCACACCAACAAGAAUAUGAGAAAGCAGAAGGAAUCAAGGUACUCCUGGAAUGGAAGCAAUUGCAUUCUGGUUGUAGCGGACUUUGAGGCGUCACAGAAACUCGCGACCACCUGAGAACCCCAACUCCUCCACGCUGCCCUGCUGUGAAACGGCGACUAGGAGAGGGCCUGGUGUACUUCAAGUGGACCUUAACCUAAUUAGCAACUUCCCGUCAAAUCUUGAUUCCUGUCUUCAAAAGACCACUUCCCGGACCAAAUGGUUGGGAAGACUAUGUGGUUAAUAUCCACCGAUGCGCGCGAGGCUCCACCCACUGGCGUUGAGAGGAACUGCAAGCGCCAGAACUUGUAAAAUUGCAGCGAGACGAAGGUGACGACGAUGGUCAUCAGCUGCCAGCGAACGCUUCUUUCCCGAAUCAGCUCCAUCACGGAGCGACUUCGGAUGUUCUGGUGGGCAGCUUUCUCCUCCAACAUCUCCUCCACCUCCCCGCUGUGGUCCUUGUUACCCCAAAGCCUCGUCAAAGCUAAGCGGCCGUGACAUGGCAAAGAUGUGGCAUUGGUGGCUGUGUGUGUGUGCCUGCCAAACAAAACGUUUGUGUGGUCGCACCUUUCUCGCAGGCCGGCUGGUCUCCUCGGUUUAGGAGCAGGAAUUUGGGAGAUUCCGGCAAGAACGGGAGUGUGACGAGCUGAAAUAGUGCAGGGAAGCCACUGAAGCCGAGCAGCCAGGGCCAUCUAGCCUCUGUGCCAAGUAACUCACUGCAAGGAGAGUAUCUCUGAAUUAGCACCAAUCGGAGUUAGAUUUGUUUGAAUUUUCUAGAUAACGAUAAAUGCCACCAUAGGAUCGUACAGGUGCCUAUCCGUUUUCUGUCUCACUUAUCCUCAUGAGUGUUGCAGGUGAGUUGCAGCAUAUCCCGAACGCCAUAAGAAAAUCUCCAAACCCGUGGGAAAAUGUGUUGUGGGCCAACAAAACCAAGGCUGAAUAUUUCAGCCAUCAUUUCAAAAGGUAUCUUUGGCGCGAAGAACCAAGUGAAUUUUCAUGUAGGUCAACACGAUUGGCUGGCGACCAGUUGAGGGUGUACCCCGCCUCUCGCCCGACGAUAGCUAGGAUAGGCUCCAGCACGCCCGCGACCCUUGUGAGGAUAAAGCGGUACAGAAUAUUGAUGGAUGUUAGUACAAAGCCUUCAGGCUUCUGACAGAAAACAAAAAAAUAAGUAAUGAAAAGGCUGCUAGAACUGCUGAACUUUAUUCAGUUUAAUUAGGGGUACAUAAAAGGGUGGCAGGUGUGCGCUGGUCCCAUUUAACUUGAGUUUGAAUGUGAUUGGAUAAUUCUGAACUCCACAUCUCUAGUUAUGAGGGUGUGCACAUUUGUGGCACCAAGUUACCUUAGUUGUUUACCCAUUUUGAAAAGAUUGAGUUGGACAUGUUCUCGGUCACAUUACUGGUGGGAAAAAAGUUUUGAAAUGAUUUAUCUCGGUCUCAUUUUUUUAGGUCUCGAAAACCUGGCAUUUCAACAGGUGCGUGUAGACAUUUUCUAUCCACGGAGAAGGGCCGUAGAAUGCGAGACGAGGAUCGUUUGCUCAGUCCUAAACAAUUUGACGCUCACCCCACUUGAAAGGAUGUCUACGCCCCAGAAGGCUUCCACAGUAUUCUAAUUUAUUGAUUUGCACCUGUGUUACUAUCCCUCAGCUGCACGUCUCACCUGAGGCCCAAAAGCUGACCGCUGAACUUCCCCAUGCCGAUGAAGGUGCCGAUGGUCACGCCCACCAUCCCUUGCAGCAUCUUUGGGGUGCAUUCAGUGAGGCACGGCUCUGCCAGUAACGAGCCCAGCAAGCCCCCAAUGCUAAAAAUGGACACAGUGAAGGACCAGAUGAGCGAGACCUGCCAGUCCUUUGGACUUACAGCAGAAGGGGAUGACACUACAGAUAUUCCGAAUCCAUACUGAAAUGUCCCGCCGAUGCCCGAGAUGAAAAUGGCAACGAUAACAAGAGGACAGUCCAGCUGCAAAGAAGGAGGAGGAGGAAGGAAAGUGAUGACUAACACUCUGGGCGGUCUGUAUUAGAGAUAUAUUUAUCCACCGUCUUCAAAUCAAAUAAAGAUCCUUGAUGAACUUGUUGCAUUCUAAUGGGCUACAGUGAACCUACAAACAAAACUCUCCUACAGGCGACAGUGACGAUAAUCUUCCGCCAGAGGCGUCUGGGCAAACUCUAGUAGGAGCAUUCGGAAACAGAGAUGUCAAGUAACUGAGUACAAAUACUUGGUUACCUUAAGUAGGUCUAUCUUUAAGGGAGAGCCCGAACACCCUGCGGAGGAAACUCAUUUCGGCCGCUUGUAUCCGGGUUCUUGUUCCUUCGGUCACGACCCGCAGCUCGUGACCAUAGGUGAGGGUAGGAACAUAGAUCGACCGGUAAAUUGAGAGCUUCGCCUUUCGGCUUAGCUCCUUCUUCACCACAAGGGAGCGAUACAAAGUCCGCAUCACUGCAGACGCUGCACCGAUCCGCCUGUCGAUCUCCCGUUAUAUUCUUCCCUCACUCGUGAACAAGACCCCAAGAUACGUGAACUCCCCCACUUUGGGAAGGAUCUCAUCCCCGACCUGGAGAGGGCACGUCACCCUUUUCCGACUGAAGACCAUGGUCUCAGAUUUGGAGGUGCUGAUUUUCAUCCCAGCCUCUUCACACGGCUAAAAAACCGCUCCAGUGAGAGUUGGAGAUCACGGCUUCAUGAAGCCAACAGAACCACGUCAUCUGCAAAAAGCAGAGAUGCAAUACUGAGGCCACCAAACCGGUGGCUUAUGGUGGACCAGAAUUUCCUCGAAGCCGUCCGUAAGUCUUUCUCUAGGGCCUCACCGAACACCUCCCGUGCCAGAAUUUCUGUUUCAGCGACCACCAAAGCUGCAUUCUGCUUGGCCACCCGGUACCCAUCAGCUUCCUCAGGAGUCCCACGGGCCAAAAAGGCCCGAUAGGACUCCUUCAGCUUGACCGCAUCCCUCACCGUUGGUGUCCACCAACGGGUUUGGGGGUUGCCGCCAUGACAGGCACUCACCACCUUACAGCCAAAGUUCUGUCGGAGGUGGGAUUUGAAAAAAACUUAUCCGGAUAAAUCAUGCCAGAAUAGAUUUUGACUGUGGUUGGAUGAGAAGUACAGUAUAAACAUAGAUCAACUCCUUUCGAAUACACUGCAAAAGUACCACCAGCUAACGGCUUUCAAAAAAAUGGCCGUCUAUGUGAAAAAGAAUAUUGAGGUCAGCUGAAAGUUUGUUAUUUGAGGUGAAGAAGGUGUGAGACUUAAUAUUCGGCUUAAGCCAAAUGUCAUCUGAGUUUAUAUUAUUGCUCUACACUAUACUGUUAAAAAAGUUAAUUGUGCAAAAUUAUAGUUUUCGUUUUGAUCAGUUGAUUAUUGACUAAAUGUUGUAGUGGCCUAAUAAUGUACUCGCUUGACCUAACAUUAAAUUUGCUGUCAUUUUAAUAUAACUAUUAUUUUAUUUGUGACGGUGGGGGGGAGGGGGGGCGUAGUUCCCAAUAGGCCCCUGUGACGCAGCCUAAGAUUUUGUCCGAAUGGAAUAUCUUUGCAUUACUUUUAUUUUUAUACUAGUUGAUACAUUAACUUCUACAGAAGUCUUCUUAAACCCUAAUAUUCUAUUGGAGUAGUGAACGUGAAUAAUUUUGACGCCUCUGUUCGAAAAUACAUGAAAAUAAGUUUCCUCACAGUUUCCAGUCAAAUCUUUUGAUAUAAGCAUCAACCAAGAGUUGUUGACACUUAAGAGUUUUAUUUUGUUUUCAUGUUUGAGUUUACUCGUUAGAUAAACUUUGACUGCAGUUGCAAUUUUUGCAUAUGCAGAUGGGGCUACGGUGAAAAACAAAUUUGUUCAGUAUUUGUUUUAAGGCGACACGGUGGACGACCAGUUAGCACAUCUCCCUCACAGUUCUGAGGACCAGGCUUCAAAUCCCAGCCUCACCUGUGUGGCGUUUACAUGUUCUCCCCGUGCGUGCGUGGGUUUUCUCCGGGCACUCCGGUUUCCUCCCACAUCCCAAAAACAUGCAUGGUAGGUUAAUUGAAGACUCUAAAUUGCCCUUAGGUGUGAAUGUGAGUACGAAUGGUUGUUUGUUUCUAUGUGCCCUGCGAUUGGAUGGCGACCAGUUCAGGUUUUAUCUAGCCUCUCGCCCGAAGAUAGCUGGGAUAGGCUCCAGCACGCCCGCGACCCUAAUGAGCAUAAGCGGUACAGAAUGGAUGGAUGGAUGGAUGGAUUUGUUUUGACUAAGCUUUUGUACUUGAGCAGUUUUUUCCUGAGCACUCAGUAAUUGUUUGGAGGACUGCUUUUACGUGUGUCAUAUUAUUGUAAAGUAAAAGUACUCUUACUUGAGUACAAUUUUAGGAUACCCCCAUCUUCGGAUGUAAAAGAAAUCUGUUCUUUACAAAAAAAUAUUUGGGCCACAAUGAAAAGAAGCAGCAAUAAGAGUAAAAUUAAAAAAAAAUAAUAUUCAAAGAAUAAAGAGAAACGUUGUAAAGUUACCAUAAUGCUGGUAUUGACAUGCCAAAAACGGAGUACUGUAUUGUAAAGUGCAGGGAAUCAAUACUAAAGCAUAACUUUCCAAGAUCCUCUACCUUCUUCAUCUUUAAAGUACAAGUAGAUCUCGUUUUUCCAGUUUUUUGUCUCCUCAUACCUAUACCUUUUCCUUGCAAACUGUAUUUUACACUUGGAAUGUUAGAUUUCCUAUGCAAAUUUUUUGUUCAUUCAUGUCCUUUUUAAUUAAUCUCAAUCGAUCCGAAUCAUGUUUCUUUGAAUGGACUUGAAUGGACACUGUACUGCUGCACCUUGGCCUCAGUAAGGAAAAUUGGUUGUUCUUCAAAGACAAAGCUAUAUGCCUGGGACUAUUAUAUUGUGUUGCUCCACCAUUUGCGUUCAAAUAUAUGUUGCUUUAAGGGUUAUAACACCACAUUGUUAUUCAUUAGCUCAUCUAUGGCAUUUUGAAUUGGUUGUUAGCAAUACUCUAAACUGACUAACAGUACCUAAAGCAAAGCUAUGUGAUUGUUUU